RNAcentral lists this ribosomal RNA (592 nucleotides) under uncultured bacterium. RNAcentral's name for it is "bacterial SSU rRNA". It matches the Rfam family "Bacterial small subunit ribosomal RNA", at positions 338 to 943 of the family's 1533-position model. The record is from RNAcentral.
CCUACGGGAGGCAGCAGUGGGGAAUCUUGCGCAAUGGGCGAAAGCCUGACGCAGCAACGCCGCGUGCGGGAAGAAGGCUUUCGGGCUGUAAACCGCUUUCAGCAGGAACGAAAAUGACGGUACCUGCAGAAGAAGGAGCGGCCAACUAUGUGCCAGCAGCCGCGGUGAUACAUAGGCUUCAAGCGUUGUCCGGAUUUAUUGGGCGUAAAGAGUUCGUAGGCGGUCGAGUAAGUCGGGUGUGAAAAUUCUGGGCUCAACCCAGAGACGCCACCCGAUACUGCUUGACUUGAGUUCGAUAGGGGAGUGGGGAAUUCCUAGUGUAGCGGCGAAAUGCGCAGAUAUUAGGAGGAACACCGGUGGCGAAGGCGCCACUCUGGAUCGAUACUGACGCUGAGGAACGAAAGCAUGGGUAGCAAACAGGAUUAGAUACCCUGGUAGUCCAUGCCGUAAACGGUGGGCACUAGGUGUGGGUUUCUAUUAACGAAAUCCGCGCCGUCGCUAACGCAUUAAGUGCCCCGCCUGGGGAGUACGGUCGCAAGACUAGAACUCAAAGGAAUUGACGGNGNGAGACGNGCGAGCGACACGAGGAGAG